Molecule: non-coding RNA, 630 nt
Organism: Cricetulus griseus (Chinese hamster)
Lineage: Eukaryota; Metazoa; Chordata; Mammalia; Rodentia; Cricetidae
Source: RefSeq, a predicted model, not a curated record
UGAGUCAAGAUUCAUACAUCUGGAAUGCACAAAGCAAGGGGAAAUCAGCAGGGACUGGUCAUCCGGAAGCUGUGAUGGAGAGAAUCCAUGGUCCCAUGGAUUCAGCGGGAGGCAGUUACAGUCACUCACAGCAGAGUCUGGGGAAACGGAAAGGAUGUAGAAGCCAAGAGCAUCGCUUUGGACAGGAGAGACAAGCAGCUCUUGAGCAACAGCCAUCUGCUGAGGAAAGGGCAUUUGCUGGUCCUGUUGCCUUUCACCUUUGGAGUUCCUGACUCCUGCUCCACCCACCAGGAAGCCACUAUUUACCCCAGAGAAUAAGCAAAGUACCCACAGAGCUGCUGUAAGGCAAGAUCUCACCUCAAGACUUCAGAUUAGCCGGGCAUGCCUUUAAUCCCAGCUCUCAGGAGUCAGAGGGCAUUCUUACCGAAUCAUCUCAAGAUGGCCUAAACAACAGAAACCUAUUGGUGGAGGCUGGAAGUCUAAGAUGAAGGUACCUUCAGGGCUGUGUGCCCUCUAAAGAUUUUCAGAGAGCAGGCUUCCUAGAUCCUUCAGCUGUGGUUCAUCCAGGUAAGCCCUCAUCCAGUGGCUGAUGGAAGCAGAGGCAGACACCCACAGAUAUACACUGAACUG